UCCUACGGGAGGCUGCAGUGAGGAAUAUUGGUCAAUGGACGCAAGCCUGAACCAGCCAAGCAGCGUGAAGGAAGACGGCUCUAUGAGUUGUAAACUGCUUUUAUACGAGAAUAAACUGCAGUACGUAUACUGUACUGAAAGUAUCAUAUGAAUAAGGAUCGGCUAACUCCGUGCCAGCAGCCGCGGUAAUACGGAGGAUCCAAGCGUUAUCCGGAUUUAUUGGGUUUAAAGGGUGCGUAGGCGGUUUGAUAAGUUAGAGGUGAAAUCCCGGGGCUUAACUCCGGCACUGCCUCUGAUACUGUUGGACUAGAGAGUAGUUGCGGUAGGCGGAAUGUAUGGUGUAGCGGUGAAAUGCUUAGAGAUCAUACAGAACACCGAUUGCGAAGGCAGCUUACCAAACUAUAUCUGACGUUGAGGCACGAAAGCGUGGGGAGCAAA
This 438-nucleotide ribosomal RNA is filed under the name Enterococcus faecalis. Its description in RNAcentral is "bacterial SSU rRNA". It matches the Rfam family "Bacterial small subunit ribosomal RNA", at positions 337 to 772 of the family's 1533-position model. Lineage: Bacteria; Bacillati; Bacillota; Bacilli; Lactobacillales; Enterococcaceae. The record is from RNAcentral.